RNAcentral lists this ribosomal RNA (442 nucleotides) under uncultured bacterium. RNAcentral's name for it is "partial 16S ribosomal RNA". It matches the Rfam family "Bacterial small subunit ribosomal RNA", at positions 338 to 795 of the family's 1533-position model. The record is from RNAcentral.
CCUACGGGUGGCUGCAGUGGGGAAUAUUGGGCAAUGGGCGCAAGCCUGACCCAGCAACGCCGCGUGAAGGAAGAAGGCUUUCGGGUUGUAAACUUCUUUUGACAGGGAAGAGUAGAAGACGGUACUCAAUGAAUAAGCCACGGCUAACUACGUGCCAGCAGCCGCGGUAAUACGUAGGUGGCAAGCGUUAUCCGGAUUUACUGGGUGUAAAGGGCGUGUAGGCGGGACUGCAAGUCAGAUGUGAAACCCAUGGGCUCAACCCAUGGCCUGCAUUUGAAACUGUAGUUCUUGAGUGAUGGAGAGGCAGGCGGAAUUCCGUGUGUAGCGGUGAAAUGCGUAGAUAUACGGAGGAACACCAGUGGCGAAGGCGGCCUGCUGGACAUUAACUGACGCUGAGGCGCGAAAGCGUGGGGAGCAAACAGGAUUAGAUACCCUUGUAGUC